Molecule: ribosomal RNA, 428 nt
Filed under: uncultured Desulfovibrionaceae bacterium
Lineage: Bacteria; Pseudomonadati; Thermodesulfobacteriota; Desulfovibrionia; Desulfovibrionales; Desulfovibrionaceae
Description: partial 16S ribosomal RNA
Rfam family: Bacterial small subunit ribosomal RNA
Source: RNAcentral
UGGGGAAUAUUGCGCAAUGGGCGAAAGCCUGACGCAGCGACGCCGCGUGAGGGAUGAAGGCCUUCGGGUCGUAAACCUCUGUCAGGAGGGAAGAAGUGUCUAUGGGUUAAUACCCUGUAGGUUUGACGGUACCUCCAAAGGAAGCACCGGCUAACUCCGUGCCAGCAGCCGCGGUAAUACGGAGGGUGCAAGCGUUAAUCGGAAUCACUGGGCGUAAAGCGCUCGUAGGCGGCUUGGUCAGUCGGGGGUGAAAUCCCACCGCUCAACGGUGGAACUGCCUUCGAUACUGCCUCGCUUGAGUGUCGGAGAGGGUGGCGGAAUUCCAGGUGUAGGAGUGAAAUCCGUAGAUAUCUGGAGGAACACCGGUGGCGAAGGCGGCCACCUGGACGACAACUGACGCUGAGGAGCGAAAGCGUGGGGAGCAAACA